AAAAGAGGAGCUCAGGCUCAGAACUUCACAUCCUGUGAAAACGCCUGAGUGACCGACAUCGUGUCGG
RNAcentral lists this small RNA (67 nucleotides) under Lysinibacillus sp. AC-3. RNAcentral's name for it is "Bacillaceae-1 RNA". It matches the Rfam family "Bacillaceae-1 RNA". The record is from RNAcentral. Lineage: Bacteria; Bacillati; Bacillota; Bacilli; Caryophanales; Bacillaceae.